Molecule: long non-coding RNA, 1234 nt
Filed under: Homo sapiens (human)
Lineage: Eukaryota; Metazoa; Chordata; Mammalia; Primates; Hominidae
Description: long intergenic non-protein coding RNA 2806
Source: RNAcentral
AGAGAAGCCUUAGGGGCCACUUCGUUCGGCAUCCCAGGGGGCAGGUGCGCGGUACAGGGAAGAAGAGGGUUUGACUGUUGUUCUCAACCCCCGGCACCAAACCUCCACCCUGGUGCGCGCCCCUCCAGGCUCCUGCUGGUCUCAGUCGCCGGUAGUUAGGUCUCCUGUCAGCCUGAGCUCCCGAGACACCCAGCCCCGGAAGGACACGUAGGGGAAACCAGCUACUCACUUCGGUCUUGUCCGCAAGGGAUCCCUUUCUGACGGGAAAGAAAGGCGGCGAGUCCGGUCCUGUUGAGUAAGCGGAAGAGAGAUCAAGGGGAAGAGAAGAAAAAUCCUGUGAGGUUUCAAGAUCUAAAGUUACCAUGAAGUCGACCUAACCUCGUCUGGAGGUCCUCCUGUGGCUGGCGAAGGUGAGUCGAGUCCCCGUCUUCAGUUUGUCAAAGUGGACAAAGCCUACGACAAUGGCCAGUACCAGCUACUAGGCAUUCCCAGUCUUUCCAGUUGGUGGUACUGGAGCUUCCCUACCCAGGAUUUCCGUGGAUUCCAAGGGUACAACUGAACAGCUUUUGUUGUUCCAACUGCUCUUAUUUGAAGAAAGGGCCGAUCUGUUGAGAAGUACAUAGGAAAACCACUUUGGUUAGUUUUACCUGUUCUAGAAAUUCACCUUGAUGGCGCCACACAGGAUGCCCUCUUUUCAUCACUCGGCAUGAUGUUUUUGAGCCAAAUUUCUCCCAUUUGGGUUAAUCGCAGGAUCAGCACGUCCACAGUGCAAUGGAAAAGCAACGCCCUGGGAAAACAACCUUCAUAACGUCCUCUCCGAUGCCAGCUGGCCAGGACUUAGUCAGUAUCUACUGAAACCUUGAAUAUCUUGGCUGUGUUAACUGUUUUGACCCAACAUGGAGCGAAAAUGUUGGUUGUACCUUGAGAUUCUGACAUCUGGUUGAAGUCCAGGUUCACUGGCCCAGGACAGGUCAUUCAGCUGUUUGAAAAAAAACAGAAGAGAGACCAGGCCAUCCACUGAGGUAAUCUCCAUGCAGCAUGAACCACUGGUUCCAAUGAACCCACCAUCACCAUACUUCUCAGGAAUCGCUGGUCACUAGACUGAGAGUUCUGUGAAAGCUGAGAUCAUAUCUUACUAAUCUCUGUGUUCAUGGUUCCCAGCUCAGGGUCUAGCACUGAGGGAGUUCUCAGGAGAGUGUUCAUCAAUUAUUGAAUAAAAGCGAUUGCAAACCUC